Molecule: transfer RNA, 85 nt
Filed under: Rhodospirillales bacterium
Lineage: Bacteria; Pseudomonadati; Pseudomonadota; Alphaproteobacteria; Rhodospirillales
Description: tRNA-Tyr
Rfam family: tRNA
About the family: Transfer RNA (tRNA) molecules are approximately 80 nucleotides in length. Their secondary structure includes four short double-helical elements and three loops (D, anti-codon, and T loops).
Source: RNAcentral
GGAGGGGUGCCCGAGCGGUUAAAGGGGACGGGCUGUAAACCCGUUGGCCAUGCCUACGUUGGUUCGAAUCCAACCCCCUCCACCA